GGGGAAGUCAGAAGGCAAGGCGGCUCGUGGGUGCAAGUCAGCCUCCUAGGCCCUCAACAGGGUAGAGAAGGAUGGAUCUAGAGGAACAAACAGGAGCCCAGUCAGUUCCAGAGCUGUGAAUUCGGAACUCCACUCUGUGGCAUCAUCCUGGACACAAAGUACUGACCCUCGCCUUCCAGACCUCUGCUUUCACCUGACCAGGGAUUAUCAAGGCACUCUGUCCAAAUAAAUGCAGCGUUCUCUUUAGUAGGAAUUGAGCCUGAGAGCAACUUGAGAAGCUGGAACUUUCUCCUUUAUCUUGUGCUGCCCACAGUGCCCAGCACUGACUUAUAAACAUGCUGUUCAGUAAGUGCUGGGGGAGAGGGAGGAAGGAAUGAAGAGAUGAGGAAAAGGAACUGGAGAGAAAGGCAGAAGAAAGAAGGGGCCAGAUGAGCAAAAAGAAGGAUGACGAGAAGAAGGAAAGAAGGAAGAAGAGGACAGAAACUGGUUACUCUCUCAAAUAAGAAUCAGAAAUUUAUAUUCUGUAAAGUUUGCUCACAUCUACUGUUUGUGUUUUGUUUUGUUUCGCUUUGUUUACUUAGCAUCAGUUCUUUGGUUCACCUGUACUAAGACCAAGAAAGCUUUGUGUAGUUGAGAGUAGAGUUAUUGGUGAGGGCACCAGCAGCUACACCAGCUCCAGAGAGAUUGGGGCUGGAGCUGUGAGAUAGGGGAGCCGGACAGCCAUCCCAUUAAACGUAUCCCUGCACCUAAUCCCUUCCUGUAAUUCACACUGGACAAUCUCUUUACAGCCUGCUAACACCUGGGGCACAACCAAAUCUUCUCCAUUUCUCUCUGUAAUCCCUCCAAAGGUAUUUUCUGAGUUUUAGUCUUUUGUGCUUUAUCCACUGGUUUCUGAGAUCCUGAAUACCUUCCUUUCAACUGCAUUUCAUAGAUAGCUGAAAAGCCUUUUGCUGCCAUACUCCCUACUUUGUACACAUCCUUAAGUCUUUUGUCCUGGCUUCCUUACCUGUCCCAUAAAAUUUAAAUUGAGUCGAUUAGUUUCGAUCAUAGGGCCAAAGAGGCUAAGGUCAAAGAUUAAAUACCAAAAAAAGCUUAUAAAUCUCUGGGCUUAAAAACAUUAGAGCAUAAAAAGAACCUUAACAAUGACUUAGCACCACCCUCUUAUUUUACAGAUGAGAUCAUUAAGGUCCGGAAAGAUCAAGUCUGCUCAGAAACAAACAACUAUACAUGGCCACAGAAUGACCUUUAGUCUUAGGCAAUCAUCUUGAAAAUUCUUGUUUUUCAUUUCCAGAAGUCAGGCAAGAAUGCAGAUUACAUCACGUAAUCACCACCCUCCUGCAGGACUCCAGGAAACCUCAAGCCCGUUUAGGUUCUCUUCCUCUAAUUACCAGUACCUUUCUCACUGAAGUAUUUGUCCUAAUCCUUAACCCUGACUUGCAUUUCUUUAUUUUGUCAACUGAGGAAGAGAAACGCCAUAUAAAGGUCUCAGAUAGCAGGUGGAGGGUAGCGGUGGAGAUGCAAGUGUCCUAGAGACAGAUGGGGUUCAAGUCUCAGCUCUCGGUCACCUCCCAACACUCUUCCUGUGGGCAAAUUUCUUAAGGUCUCUAAGUCUAAGUUUUGUAAUGGGAAAAACACCUACUUUGCAGAGUUUUUGUGAGGGUUGGAUGAGCAGCUCCAAACCCACUUUCCUCUAUCACUAUCUAGACCCUUGUUUGGGACAUGUGUCACAAGUCUAGACUUGCCCCUUUUUCACAGCGACCUCCUGGGUGGGAGAAAUCAAGUCUCCUUUCCUAAUCAAUGACUUCAACUGGAACUGCCUCAGUCCUUCAGGUCAGAGAUGCUCUAACAAUACUGACCCUCAAAAGGGAAGAGAUGAAGAUCUCAAUCCCUUUUAUUCCUAAAAGUUUCUUGACACCUUGUGGAAAUGUGUUUUCGUGCUCCCCAUCGCACGUACACCAACCAGCAACUGCCAUAUACCAAGAGCACAGAGAGGGGCUGUGAUUGUCUGGCCAAAUAAAAUCCUACCCCACCACCGUAUACAUCUGUAUUUUAUGUAUUUUCUUCAUCUUUAUAUUAUAUCUUCUUAUAACAUGGAUCAUAAGUAUUUGGUUCUAUUGUAGACUCAGUUGUGUAUUCUUUUUGUUGAUUACAAUGUAAGAAUUUUCAUAUUGCUACAAAAACAGAUGUGCUUGUUACUAUACAUUCACAUAUCUGAAAAGAGCCAAUAAGUGAUUCUUCCUAGAAAAGGAAGGUCUGGCCAAGCUGACCUUAUAUCUCCAACACCCGAAAGACACCUUUAAAUAGCCGUUAACUUUGCUAUAAAAUAUUCCAACAUUUUUUCUCAUUGGGCAACUCUACCAAAAUGAUAAUAUCAUUUAUUGUGUUGCUAUUCUGUUCUAAACAUUUUUGUAAGUGUUAUGCCCAUUUUUCAGACAAGGAAAUUGAGGUGCAAUGGGGUAAAAUAUUCCGCAAAAUGUCACUCAGCUAGCAGACGACAGAGCCUGGAUUCAUAACAGGUGUAUAUGAUUCUGUAAUUGAUGCCUACAUCAUCUUAACAUACAGAAUUCUGCACCAACGAAAUAAAAGCCAAAUGGCUUAAAAAGCAGUUGUGGCAGAAAGUUUUAAACCUAAGACUGUUAAAGAAAACCAGAGCUGGACAGUAGUUAAAGCUAUAAAAGUAGAUUUUAUUCAGAAACGAUUGCAAUAAACAAAAAAAGAUCUCAGUAUAGAACUGGGCUCAAUUCCAAAAACAGCAUGGACAGGCAAGAGUAGGACCAGUGGAUGGGAAAGUACUAAAGGAUUACUUACAUUUUUCACAGAGGUAGGGUGGGGAUUUCUGUCUAAACUGACUCGACAGAGUUCUUGCUGCAGGCAGGCCAGGGUGAUCAGAUAGCACCUCAGGGAUGCGGGGGGAUGAGGAAUCUUCUCAGGUAUUGAGGAUGAUCAGAUAUCAAGGGUAGGGAGUUCUCCCUUAACCGACUUAGCGACAUUCUUGCUACAACUGGGAGAUACAGGUCCAACAAGGACAGACACCAGAUUCAAAGCCUAGAGGGCUUGAAGGAGGCUGACUGGAGUUUAGUCAAGGAGAGUUUUUGUCGAGACACAGGCAGCGACUGAAGCUCAAAAACUGCGUCCUGGCAGAGAGGAGCUAGAGUGAACUCCCAAGGAAGUUAUGUGCAGUAGGCCACACCUGACAGCGUGGAUGGGCUGCAGGAGCAAUAGAGCCAUUUGGCUGCCUGCAUGAUCAGAGACCUGGCUUUGUGCUCUCACUGACUAUUCGGUCCAGCGUUCGCUGAGACCACAGAAUGGCGGAGCCCAUGAAAACUUUCCAUGAGACAUUCCAUGUUCUAGUCUAUGUUAAAUCCAGUGACAAGCUGAAAGAUACAUAUAAAACGCAAAAGUUGUCAAAAUGACCUUACCUAAGAGCUCUAAUAUUUUAUAAGAAAAGUUUAAAAGAUAGGCAAAUGGAUAAAAAAAGAUGUGGUGUAUGUAGGCACACACACGCACACACACACAAAAUCCUACCAUUUGCAACAACAUGGAUAUAUCUUGAGGACAUUAUGCUAAGUGAGAUAAAUCAGACAAAGAAAGAAAAAUACCAUAUGAUAUUGCUUAUGUCUGGGAUCUAAAAAAGCCAAAUUUAUAGAAACAGAGAGUAAAAUGGCGGUUACCAGGAACUGGGGGUGGGGAAAUAAAGGAUGUAUUGUUUAAGGGGUACAAUCUUGCAACUAGUAGGUAAAUAUGUCCCAGAAAUCUAAUGCACGGGAUAGUGAAUACAGACAACAUUAUUCUAUUACAAUCAUAUAACCUUGCUAAGAGACGAGAUCUUAAUUAUUCCCACCACAAAAAAGAACUGAUAAUUAUGUGACAUGAUAGAGGAGUUAACAUUGCUACAAUGACGAUCACAUUUAACUUAUGUAUGCAGUAUAUAAAUAAUACAUAAAUAUAUUAAAUAUGUAUUUAGUAUAUAAACACCUAUAUAUGUAUUAAAAACAUAUAUUUAAUACAUAAAUACAUAUGUAUUUAAUACAUAUAAUAAAUG
Long non-coding RNA from Equus caballus (horse), 4042 nucleotides. Lineage: Eukaryota; Metazoa; Chordata; Mammalia; Perissodactyla; Equidae. The record is from Ensembl.